This 448-nucleotide ribosomal RNA is filed under the name uncultured bacterium. RNAcentral's name for it is "bacterial SSU rRNA". It matches the Rfam family "Bacterial small subunit ribosomal RNA", at positions 8 to 460 of the family's 1533-position model. The record is from RNAcentral.
AGAGUUUGAUCCUGGCUCAGAUUGAACGCUGGCGGCAUGCCUUACACAUGCAAGUCGAACGGUAACAGCACUUCGGUGGCUGACGAGUGGCGAACGGGUGAGUAAUACAUCGGAACGUGCCCGAGAGUGGGGGAUAACGCAGCGAAAGCUGUGCUAAUACCGCAUACGAUCUACGGAUGAAAGCAGGGGACCGCAAGGCCUUGCGCUCACGGAGCGGCCGAUGGCAGAUUAGGUAGUUGGUGGGAUAAAAGCUUACCAAGCCGACGAUCUGUAGCUGGUCUGAGAGGACGACCAGCCACACUGGGACUGAGACACGGCCCAGACUCCUACGGGAGGCAGCAGUGGGGAAUUUUGGACAAUGGGCGAAAGCCUGAUCCAGCCAUGCCGCGUGCAGGAUGAAGGCCUUCGGGUUGUAAACUGCUUUUGUACGGAACGAAAAGGUCUUUUC